Molecule: transfer RNA, 81 nt
Organism: Nematocida parisii ERTm3
Lineage: Eukaryota; Fungi; Microsporidia
Rfam family: tRNA
About the family: Transfer RNA (tRNA) molecules are approximately 80 nucleotides in length. Their secondary structure includes four short double-helical elements and three loops (D, anti-codon, and T loops).
Source: Rfam
GUCGAUAUGGCCGAGUGGUUAAGGCGGUUGAUUCGAAAUCAAUUGGGCAUGCCCGCGCAGGUUCAAAUCCUGCUGUCGACG